CCCCCUGAACUUAGUGGCGGACGGGUGAGUAACACGUGAGCAACCUGCCCUAUAGAGGGGGAUAACGUUUGGAAACGAACGCUAAUACCGCAUAACGCGCUGGGGGACAUCCCUUUGGCGCCAAAGGAGCAAUCCGCUAUAGGAUGGGCUCGCGUCCGAUUAGAUAGUUGGCGGGGUAACGGCCCACCAAGUCGACGAUCGGUAGCCGGACUGAGAGGUUGAACGGCCACAUUGGGACUGAGACACGGCCCAGACUCCUACGGGAGGCAGCAG
This 273-nucleotide ribosomal RNA is filed under the name uncultured bacterium. RNAcentral describes it as "partial 16S ribosomal RNA". It matches the Rfam family "Bacterial small subunit ribosomal RNA", at positions 82 to 354 of the family's 1533-position model. The record is from RNAcentral.